Molecule: ribosomal RNA, 484 nt
Filed under: uncultured bacterium
Lineage: Bacteria
Description: partial 16S ribosomal RNA
Rfam family: Bacterial small subunit ribosomal RNA
Source: RNAcentral
GACGAACGCUGGCGGCGUGCUUAACACAUGCAAGUCGAACGGUGAAAGCGGAGCUUGCUCCGCUGGAUCAGUGGCGAACGGGUGAGUAACACGUGGGCAACCUGCCCCUCACUUCGGGAUAACUCCGGGAAACCGGGGCUAAUACCGGAUAUGACCUCCUUGGCAUCCUUGGAGGUGGAAAGUUUUUCGGUGAGGGAUGGGCCCGCGGCCUAUCAGCUUGUUGGUGAGGUAGUGGCUCACCAAGGCGACGACGGGUAGCCGGCCUGGGAGGGCGACCGGCCACACUGGGACUGAGACACGGCCCAGACUCCUACGGGAGGCAGCAGUGGGGAAUAUUGCGCAAUGGGCGAAAGCCUGACGCAGCAACGCCGCGUGCGGGAUGACGGCCUUCGGGUUGUAAACCGCUUUCAGCAGGGAAGAAGCCGCAAGGUGACGGUACCUGCAGAAGAAGCACCGGCUAACUACGUGCCAGCAGCCGCCGUAA